Molecule: ribosomal RNA, 400 nt
Filed under: uncultured bacterium
Lineage: Bacteria
Description: bacterial SSU rRNA
Rfam family: Bacterial small subunit ribosomal RNA
Source: RNAcentral
GGGGAAUAUUGGGCAAUGGGCGCAAGCCUGACCCAGCCAUGCCGCGUGAGUGACGAAGGCCUUAGGGUUGUAAAGCUCUUUUGGCGGGGACGAUAAUGACGGUACCCGCAGAAUAAGCCCCGGCUAACUUCGUGCCAGCAGCCGCGGUAAUACGAAGGGGGCUAGCGUUGUUCGGAAUCACUGGGCGUAAAGCGCACGUAGGCGGACUUUCAAGUCAGGGGUGAAAUCCCGGGGCUCAACCUCGGAACUGCCUUUGAUACUGUUGGUCUCGAGUCCGAUAGAGGUGGGUGGAAUUCCUAGUGUAGAGGUGAAAUUCGUAGAUAUUAGGAAGAACACCGGUGGCGAAGGCGGCCCACUGGAUCGGUACUGACGCUGAGGUGCGAAAGCGUGGGGAGCAAAC